ACCUCUCUGCCUUCAUAAGGAGAUCCAGCCCAGCAUUCAUCGCCAGUCCGUUGCCUAUCUCGGUUUCCCAUUCCACGAGUGUCCACCUGGGAGAUCUUCCUCAAGCUUCGCUCCAGCCCCCCUCAAGUCACGCCUCGCUCCUCGCUCGCCACGGGCCCCAAGACAUCAGGCAGUCCGCGGUGAUUCUCUCCGCACAUCUCGCUCCGCUCCAGCCACGCCACGCUCUCAGCCUAGCUCUCAAGACGCUACGUGCUGCUGCUACGCCGACGCAUCUCCAGAGCUCCAAGCUAGAAGUAACAAACAAACUGAACUGUUUAUUUCCUGCUUGGAAAUUAAAGACUCUUUGCACUUCGCUACUCGCCUGAGUUUCCUUCCAGGUUUUCAGCAUCUGGGUCUGCCUCGUCCAACUUACCAUGACAGAACGGACUGGCCUGAACACAGACCCAGCUGACCCUGCAGGGCUCCGAUUAGCCGCCACUCGUCAGGGAUUAGCCUUGGGACGGCAAGCCGAAUCUCUGUCUCAGAUGGCCACGGCCCAACAGGAUCUUUUCCGCCGACUGGAUGGCAUCACUCAGACUUUAAUGGAACUAACGGGCCAAGCGUCAGCUAACGCCACAGCGUCCAUUCCCCCUGCCGCCAGCUUCAGCACUUCCGGUUCCGGUUCAAACCCCGAAAACUUUCGCCUUCAACCAGAGACAUUUCAUGUCGUUAAAUGACACCACUAAGGAACAUCUGUGCUCCCAACCAGAGACUAAUACUUUUGAAGAACUUGUUUCCACAGCCCUGCGAUCGGACAUUCGCAUUCGGGAACGACAGAAGGAGCGUCUUCGGCAAGAGAAGAGGGGUCCAUCAGAGCCUAACAAUCUCACAACGUUCCCGGAAUCCUAUGUACCGAUCAAAAGGUUCCUGUGAAAGACUCGGAUGAACCCAUGCAGAAUGGACACUCCAAGCUUUCACCAAAGGAACGUAAGAGACGUAAGUACGAGGGAGCUUGCUUUUACUGUGGACUUCCAGGACACCUAGUAAGCCAAUGCUCUUAAAGUUUAAAAGCCAAGACUCCCCGCUAGAAGACAGGCCGCGGGCGGGUUCAUCAGUUUCUCCCUCAGAGAAAAGAUUUCUAUUUGUUCCUGUCAAGUUAAGUUCUGCCAGUGGUUGUCAUGAUUUCAAGGUGCUAGUUGACUCUGGCGCUGAACAGAGUUUUAUUGACUAUGACCUCAUUUCCAAGUUAAGUCUGCCCACAGAAACCCUGGAACAGCCCAUAGAGACUGCCGGCCUAGGGGGUCAACUGCUUUCCCAGAUCACACACCGUACUAAACCUGUACUCCUCAUCACGUCGGGUAACCACCGCGAGCACAUUCAAUUUUUUGUCACUAGAACCUUGCAAACACCCAUCGUUCUUGGUUACUCCUGGUUGCGUACCCACAACCCUCAGUUGGACUGGGUACACUGUAACAUCUCCACCUGGAGUGCCUUUUGUAUGGCUAAUUGCCUCAGAUCCGCUGAACCUCUCAUCCGUGCCAACAGGUCUCCGAACAUAUUGACCUUACUCUCGUCCCCUCAUGCUACCACGAUUUAAAAUCUGUCUUCAGUAAAUCUAAGGCUGGUUCUCUGCCAUCUCACAGGCCCUAUGAUAGCGCCAUUAAUCUACUUCCCGGGGCACCACUCCCUAAGAGUAGACUAUUCAACCUGUCUGGGCCAGAGAAAUUAGCCAUGGAGAAAUAUAUCCAGGAGGCCCUUACUGCUGGUCUUAUUAGACCAUCCUCCUCUCCAGUGGCCGUAGGUUUUUUCUUUGUGGAAAAGAAAGACAAGACCUUUCGUCCCUGCAUAGAUUUCCGGGAACUUAAUUAAAUAACCAUUAAGGACAAAUAUUCACUUUCCCUUAUCAGCUCUGCUUUUGAUUCUGUUCAGGAAGCGCGAUUAUUCACCAAACUCGAUCUGCGUAAUGCUUAUCAUUUAGUUCGCAUUAAGGAGGGGGAUGAGUGGAAAACUGCAUUUAACACUCCAUUGGGACAUUUCGAGUAUCUUGUCAUGCCCUUUGGCCUCACGAACGCCCCCGCAGUUUUCCAAUGUCUGGUUAACGACAUCCUCCGCGACUUCCUCAACCGUUUUGUUUUUUGUUUAUCUGGAUGAUAUUCUCAUUUUCUCUCCCGACAUGUCUCAACACACCCACCACGUACGACUUGUUCUUGAACGUCUGCUGGCUAAUCUGUUUUAUGUGAAAGCUGAAAAAUGCGAGUUCCAUGCCUCCACGGUCUUGUUCCUCGGUUAUAUUUUCGAAGCUGGUAAUAUCAAACCUGAUCCUACAAAAAUCGAAGCCGUCUCGAAUUGGGAACCCCCCGAAAAUCGUAAGAAGCUUCAGCAAUUCUUACGAUUCUUAGGGUUUUUACCGGAGGUUCAUUCGUAAUUAUAGCUCCAUAGCUUCCCCCCUCACACAACUCACCUCCACCAAGAAGCCCUAUUUCUGGAACCCUGAGGCUCAGUCAGCAUUCGAUAGACUCAAAGAACUCUUUAUUUCAGCGCCCAUCCUCAUCCAACCUGACCCCUCUAGUUGAUUCAUUGUAGAGGUGGACGCUUCGGACACUGGUGUAGGGGCCGUCCUCUCUCAACGGGAAGCCAUGCGCCUUCUUCUCCCGAAAACUAUCCCCCGCCGAGAGAAAUUAUGACGUGGGUAGCCGGGAACUCUUGGCUAUAAAGCUAGCCCUAGAGGAAUGGCGUCACUGGCUGGAGGGAGCUCAACACCCGUUUAUCGUUUGGACGGACCACAAGAACCUGGCCUUCUUGAGAUCCGCCAAGAGACUAAAUUCACGACAAGCCCGUUGGUGUCUUUUCUUUGACAGAUUCAAUUUCUCCAUUACCUACAGACCCGGAAGUCGAAACAUCAAACCAGAUGCACUAUCUCGACAGUUCAGUUCCAGUUCCAGUUCCACUCCAUCUACCAUCCUGCCAUCCACCUGCAUCAUAGGCAACCUCGCCUGGGAUGUCGAGUCCAGGGUGUUACAGGCCCCAUUGCACCUCCUAACACACUUUAUGUUCCCGAUUCCCUCCGUUCAGAUGUCCUCUCCUGGGAUCAUGCCUCCCGCAUUGCCUGCCACGCUGGAGUCCACAGAACGCUAAACCUCCUGAAACGGCAUUUUUUCUGGCCAUCCAUGGAAAGGGAUGUCAGAGAAUACAUUGCCGCAUGCACCGUCUGUGCCUGUUCCAAAACUACCAAUUCUCCUCCAGCUGGUUUCCUUCAACCCCUUCCGGCACCGGGACGUCCCUGGUCCCACUGUAAAAGACCCAUUUUAAUUGUUUUCUUAUUAUUGUUUAACAUUUCCUUUGAUUCAAGAUGCCCUUAAUUUCAAAAGAAGUAUGUUGAAGAUGUAAAAGAAAAUGACAAAAAGGUGUUAAUGUUUGUAAGAUGUAUUUUGUUUUGAAGACCUUUAUUGUGAAGGUUCCACUUACUUCCGCUUUUUCUGUGAAGUGUCAGUUUAACAGAAACCAAAAAAACGGUUAACAGCUGAUGCUACGGCAACAAAGGAAACAGAAAAAAAAGGACGGACGGAUAACUGUGUAAAGCAGUAAUUUGUUUUUGGCAUCUAGCUGGAAGGCGAACAGCUCUUACGGUGUGACUAUGACUGUGGAGUAAACAAAUGGGUUGGAAUACCCCAUCAUAGUCCAUCAGUUACUAUGAUUGAGUCCAUCGUCUGAAUCAAUUCCGGCUGGAAUGCUACACCCACAUCGCCAUGGCCUUUAUCACUGGCCUGCCGCCUUCACAGGGUAAAUUUACGAGUUUAAAGCCGAAGUGAACAUACAGAGCAGCAAGUGAACGCCGCGCAGCACGCAGCACGCAGCACGCAGCAGAGCAGACCAACUAACUCAAAUGAACAGGAUCUCUGCAGCCCCUUAAGAAAGCCGUCUCCACCAAAGACAAGAUCUCUAAGUUUGUGUGAUGCUUCCACUGAGGAAGACAUUUUGGCUUUUUCAAUGUUGUAAAUAUAAUACUAAUUGCUAAUAUAA
Long non-coding RNA from Oryzias latipes (Japanese medaka), 3999 nucleotides. RefSeq lists it as uncharacterized. The record is from RefSeq and is a predicted model, not a curated record. Lineage: Eukaryota; Metazoa; Chordata; Actinopteri; Beloniformes; Adrianichthyidae.